GCUGGGGUAGCUAAGCCCGGACUAAAGCGGUAGCCUCGAGAGCUAUUGGUGCUUGUCACCGCAAGGGUUCAAAUCCCUUCCCCAGCG
This 87-nucleotide transfer RNA is filed under the name Thermoplasmatales archaeon. Its description in RNAcentral is "tRNA-Ser". It matches the Rfam family "tRNA". From Rfam's summary of the family: Transfer RNA (tRNA) molecules are approximately 80 nucleotides in length. Their secondary structure includes four short double-helical elements and three loops (D, anti-codon, and T loops). Lineage: Archaea; Methanobacteriati; Thermoplasmatota; Thermoplasmata; Thermoplasmatales. The record is from RNAcentral. RNAcentral also lists the same sequence under 1 other name.